Molecule: long non-coding RNA, 531 nt
Organism: Etheostoma cragini (Arkansas darter)
Lineage: Eukaryota; Metazoa; Chordata; Actinopteri; Perciformes; Percidae
Exons: 3
Source: RefSeq, a predicted model, not a curated record
AUAAAAAAGUGGACCAUUUACAACUCACUCAGAUCUGAGAAUAUCCUUUUCAACAAAGAAUCUAGGGUCCAAGUCGGGACCAACAUAGCCCAAGUUGGGCACCAGUUAAUGGCAUGAAGUAUGAGUGGGCACACAUAAACUCUUAGUAGAUAAGAUACCCACUAAUCACAGCACAGUGGCAUACACAUGUAAUAUAAAGCUUCCAAACAAUUAUUCUUAAAGUCUUAAAGAAUGUGUAGCUCCAUUCGGGAGGUCAUAUACGUAACAAAACGAUGGACAUUCAAAAAACAAACAGUAUGAAUUACCAACACAAUAAAAAUAUCAAUACUUGUGUGGACAAAAUAUUUUGGCAAACUUAAAAUCUACAUACAAUACAACACAAUAUGAAGUACUGUUUGCUCUGACCAGGCAGAUGGAUUAAUAGACCUACCAAUCAGCAGAUGUUAAAGUAUGUUAUUGUCAAGUUAAAAAAUAUAAAAAGUGUUAGAUUAAUGGUUUUCAAUCGAGUAAGUCGUCAAAAAGAAAGUGUAU